This 420-nucleotide ribosomal RNA is filed under the name uncultured bacterium. RNAcentral's name for it is "bacterial SSU rRNA". It matches the Rfam family "Bacterial small subunit ribosomal RNA", at positions 356 to 774 of the family's 1533-position model. The record is from RNAcentral.
GAGGAAUAUUGGUCAAUGGGCGAGAGCCUGAACCAGCCAAGUCGCGUGAAGGAAGACUGCCUUAUGGGUUGUAAACUUCUUUUAUACAGGAAUAAAAAGGCUUACGUGUAGGCCAUUGCAAGUACUGUAUGAAUAAGCAUCGGCUAACUCCGUGCCAGCAGCCGCGGUAAUACGGAGGAUGCGAGCGUUAUCCGGAUUUAUUGGGUUUAAAGGGUGCGUAGGCGGUUUAUCAAGUCAGGGGUGAAAGGCUACGGCUCAACCGUAGUGAGCCUCUGAAACUGGUGAACUUGAGUGUAGGAGAGGAAAGUGGAAUUCCCAGUGUAGCGGUGAAAUGCGUAGAUAUUGGGAGGAACACCAGUGGCGAAGGCGACUUUCUGGACUACAACUGACGCUGAGGCACGAAAGCGUGGGGAGCAAACA